CCCGAGUCGAGCGGCGAACGGGUGAGUAACACGUGGAUAACCUGCCCAGAGGUGGGGGAUAACCCGGGGAAACUCGGGCUAAUACCGCAUGAUACCGAGAGGUCAAAGGGGGCUCGCAAGGGCUCUCGCCAUUGGAGGGGUCCGCGUCCGAUUAGCUAGUUGGUAGGGUAACGGCCUACCAAGGCGACGAUCGGUAGCCGGCCUGAGAGGGUGAUCGGCCACACUGGAACUGAGACACGGUCCAG
Molecule: ribosomal RNA, 245 nt
Filed under: uncultured bacterium
Lineage: Bacteria
Description: partial 16S ribosomal RNA
Rfam family: Bacterial small subunit ribosomal RNA
Source: RNAcentral